Styela clava is the source of this 1197-nucleotide long non-coding RNA. RefSeq lists it as uncharacterized. The record is from RefSeq and is a predicted model, not a curated record. NCBI's taxonomy places the organism in Eukaryota, Metazoa, Chordata, Ascidiacea, Stolidobranchia, Styelidae.
CCUGCGCUAGUCUGAGCCAGGUAUAUUCACAAUUUUAAGGCAGGGAAGGUCUGGAUAUAAUUAAGUUAACUAAUUAGUUCCCAUUCUUCAUGCAUAUAUAAGCUAGAACUUGAAUUGUAUAAAUAAUAAUCUAUUUCGAUACAAUUGGGUAGCGCAUUUUUUCAGUCAUAUUCAGAAUUUUGAGUGUUAUAUGAUGAAUAUAGAUUUCAGCAUCGAGUUCUUGUUUCUUUUCUUAUAUACCUUUCGAGUGUAUUUAUUCACGUGUUUUGCAACGUUUUUCUUUAUGGACCAAGUCUUGAUUUUUGAUCAUAUAUUUUGUGAGUUGUAAUCCGCGUCAACGUGUUGUUUAUAAUUUUCCUACUUUGCACAAGAACUUUGUAUCAUCGCUAAAAAGUAAGCCAUAACUAUUAUUAUCAAACUACAGGUUUAAAAGUGAAGAAAAAUCUACCGAUAUAUGAUAUUGGCAUGGUUGAUGGUGGAGUGACGACUGAUUGAUGUAGGUAGAAAGGGCUUUACGAAGAUAUUGUUACUGCUGGUGGUCGAGUGACGAUUGGUCGAUGUAAAUGGAAAGGGCUUUGCGAAGAAUGAAGAUAUUGUCACUGCUAGAGGACGAGUGAUGAUCGGUCGAAGUAAAUGGGAAGGUCUUUGUGAAGCUAGAAGAUAUUGUUUCUGCUGGUGAGCGAGUGGCAAUUGAUCGAUGUGAAUGGACAGAUUCUGACGGGAACAGCGAAUCAAGGCGAUCUCAAUAUUACAAAUCUGGAUAAAGUGUGUACUUGACGGAAGUAGAAGAUGAUUAAUCCCCCAUGAAGCAGGCGUAAAAUGGCAGUUAUCGAGAUAUGGAGUGUUUUCGAAUUGUACCAAUCGUAUUUUCCAUUUUAUUUUAAUCAGUUCUGUAUCCGGGUUUUUGAGGAGGUCAGCGCUUGCUUAGCCACCCCAGAUCGUGGGUCAUGAUAGGUAUCGAUUGGUUAGGGACACUUGAGAUUUCUUGAUGUGUACAUGUGAGGGCUGCCAUUAAAUAACUAUCAGCUCGUAGACUGCUAUCAUAGAUAUAAGCGCAAGAUUCAUUCGAAUACGGUAUCUUGUAAGUUGGUAAGGUUCCUGUACUUUGUCACAAAUUUCGUCGUUCUGUGCCUAAAAUCUUUGCAGUUUUUGUUAUUUCAACAUAGUUUCUUUUUGUUAAUGGAUAUUAAUAAAUAA